RNAcentral lists this transfer RNA (73 nucleotides) under Camelus bactrianus (Bactrian camel). It matches the Rfam family "tRNA". From Rfam's summary of the family: Transfer RNA (tRNA) molecules are approximately 80 nucleotides in length. Their secondary structure includes four short double-helical elements and three loops (D, anti-codon, and T loops). The record is from Rfam by way of RNAcentral. Lineage: Eukaryota; Metazoa; Chordata; Mammalia; Artiodactyla; Camelidae. RNAcentral also lists the same sequence under 2 other names.
GGGGGUAUAGCUCAGUGGUUAGAGUACAUGCUUAGCAUGUAUGAGGUCCUGGGUUCAAUCCCUAGAACUGCCA